GGUUGACCAUCUCAAGGAACAAGCCUAUUAUUACAGGCAACAGAUGAUGAUUCUCUGAAUUUAUAUCAAAAUUUUAUUGAAAAGUUGAUGUAAUUUACCAACUUUAACAAGAUCCCAAGUGCUUUUCUAUUUAAAUUUUUUAAUAACAAAAUUAGAGUUCCAAUUAAAUUACAAAAGUAUAAGAAAGAAUUUUGAUCACAUAGCUUAUGAUUUUAAUAUCCACAUGUGACCCACCACAUAUUAGGAAUUUUGCUAAUUC
Molecule: unclassified non-coding RNA, 259 nt
Filed under: Hevea brasiliensis (rubber tree)
Lineage: Eukaryota; Viridiplantae; Streptophyta; Magnoliopsida; Malpighiales; Euphorbiaceae
Source: RNAcentral